AUACGGAGGACGCGAGCGUUAUCCGGAUUCAUUGGGUUUAAAGGGUGCGCAGGCGGCCGUGCAAGUCAGCGGUGAAAGCCCGGGGCUCAACCCCGGAAGUGCCGUUGAUACUGCAUGGCUGGAAUGCGGUCGAGGCGGGCGGGACGUGGCGGGGAGCGGUGAAAUGCGUAGAUAUGCCACAGAACGCCGAGAGCGGAGGCAGCUCGCCAGGCCUGCAUUGACGCUCGGGCACGAAAGCGUGGGGAUCGAACAGGAUUAGAUACCCGGGUAGUCCACGCCGUAAACGAUGGGCGCUCGUCGUCGGCGGCAGACAGUCGGCGGCCAAGCGAAAGCGAUAAGCGCCCCACCUGGGGAGUACGGUCGCAAGGCUGAAACUCAAAUGAAUUGACGGGG
RNAcentral lists this ribosomal RNA (393 nucleotides) under uncultured bacterium. RNAcentral describes it as "partial 16S ribosomal RNA". It matches the Rfam family "Bacterial small subunit ribosomal RNA", at positions 523 to 918 of the family's 1533-position model. The record is from RNAcentral.